RNAcentral lists this ribosomal RNA (460 nucleotides) under uncultured bacterium. RNAcentral's name for it is "partial 16S ribosomal RNA". It matches the Rfam family "Bacterial small subunit ribosomal RNA", at positions 338 to 795 of the family's 1533-position model. The record is from RNAcentral.
CCUACGGGUGGCAGCAGUGAGGAAUAUUGGUCAAUGGACGAGAGUCUGAACCAGCCAAGUAGCGUGAAGGAUGACUGCCCUAUGGGUUGUAAACUUCUUUUAUAUGGGAAUAAAGUGUUCCACGUGUGGGAUUUUGUAUGUACUAUAUGAAUAAGGAUCGGCUAACUCCGUGCCAGCAGCCGCGGUAAUACGGAGGAUCCGAGCGUUAUCCGGAUUUAUUGGGUUUAAAGGGAGCGUAGGUGGCUUGUUAAGUCAGUUGUGAAAGUUUGCGGCUCAACCGUAAAAUUGCAGUUGAUACUGGCAGUCUUGAGUACAGUAGAGGUGGGCGGAAUUCGUGGUGUAGCGGUGAAAUGCUUAGAUAUCACGAAGAACUCCGAUUGCGAAGGCAGUUCACUGGACUGCAACUGACACUGAGGCUCGAAAGUGUGGGUAUCAAACAGGAUUAGAUACCCCGGUAGUC